GAACCACUUUUAACGGCCGCGGUAUCCUAACCGUGCGAAGGUAGCAUAAUCACUUGUCCCCUAAAUAGGGACUAGCAUGAACGGCCAAACGAGGGCCCAACUGUCUCCUAUAGCCAACCAAUAAACCUGAUCUCUCAGUACAAAAGCUGAGAUAAAUACAUUAGACGAGAAGACCCUGUGGAGCUUAAAGCCCGGGUAUCAACACCAAAACCACCAUUGAUACGCGCUUUCAGUUGGGGCGACUAUGGAGCAAAACAAAACCUCCACGACACCACCACAGCGUGACAAAAGACUCACACGUCAACCCAUAAAUAUUAUGACCCAGUCAAACUGAUCAGCGAACCAAGUUACCCCAGGGAUAACAGCGCCAUCCUCCCCAAGAGUUCAUAUCGCCGGGAGGGCUUACGACCUCGAUGUUGGAUCAGGACACCCAGGUGGUGCAGCCACUGCCAAAGG
This 456-nucleotide ribosomal RNA is filed under the name Tarentola mauritanica (Moorish gecko). RNAcentral describes it as "partial 16S ribosomal RNA". It matches the Rfam family "Bacterial large subunit ribosomal RNA", at positions 1915 to 2571 of the family's 2925-position model. The record is from RNAcentral. Lineage: Eukaryota; Metazoa; Chordata; Lepidosauria; Squamata; Phyllodactylidae.